Molecule: ribosomal RNA, 500 nt
Filed under: uncultured bacterium
Lineage: Bacteria
Description: partial 16S ribosomal RNA
Rfam family: Bacterial small subunit ribosomal RNA
Source: RNAcentral
AUUGAACGCUGGCGGCAUGCCUUACACAUGCAAGUCGAACGGCAGCACGGGAGCAAUCCUGGUGGCGAGUGGCGAACGGGUGAGUAAAGUAUCGGAACGUGCCCAGUCGGGGGGGAUAACGUAGCGAAAGUUACGCUAAUACCGCAUACGAUCUAUGGAUGAAAGCGGGGGAUCGCAAGACCGCGCGCGAGUGGAGCGGCAGAUAUCAGAUUAGGUAGUUGGUGGGGUAAAGGCUCACCCAGCCGACGAUCUGUAGCUGGUCUGAGAGGACGACCAGCCACACUGGGACUGAGACACGGCCCAGACUCCUACGGGAGGCAGCAGUGGGGAAUUUUGGACAAUGGGCGAAAGCCUGAUCCAGCCAUGCCGCGUGCAGGAUGAAGGCCUUCGGGUUGUAAACUGCUUUUGUACGGAACGAGAAGGUUUGGCCUAAUAAGCUGAGCUCAUGACGGUACCGUAAGAAUAAGCACCGGCUAACUACGUGCCAGCCGCCGCGGUAA